RNA transcript from Panthera uncia (snow leopard), 4959 nucleotides. It is a transcript of the gene named exocyst complex component 6B, with no coding region annotated. The transcript is spliced from 23 exons. NCBI's taxonomy places the organism in Eukaryota, Metazoa, Chordata, Mammalia, Carnivora, Felidae. The record is from RefSeq and is a predicted model, not a curated record.
AGGGGGCGUGCCGAGCCCGAGGGAGGGGUCGUCCUGCGGGUAGCCGGAGGCCGGGGAGGUUCUGGAGCCUAGGGUGAGAGAGGGAACGAAAGGUGAGCGGGGCUGAAGGAGGGGACGCACUGCCUGGCGCCCCCAAUCUAUGGAGAGGGGUAAGAUGGCGGAGGCGGAGAGCCUGGAGACAGCGGCAGAGCACGAGCGGAUCCUGCGAGAGAUCGAGAGCACCGACACGGCCUGCAUCGGGCCCACCCUCAGGUCUGUCUAUGAUGGUGAAGAACAUGGACGAUUCAUGGAGAAGCUUGAAACUCGCAUCCGUAAUCAUGACCGAGAAAUUGAGAAAAUGUGCAACUUUCAUUACCAGGGCUUUGUGGACUCUAUAACUGAACUGUUGAAAGUGAGAGGAGAAGCCCAGAAACUCAAAAAUCAAGUGACGGAUACUAAUAGAAAACUGCAACAUGAGGGAAAGGAACUGGUAAUAGCAAUGGAAGAGCUGAAGCAGUGUCGACUACAACAGAGAAAUAUUUCAGCCACUGUUGAUAAAUUAAUGCUGUGUCUUCCAGUCCUAGAGAUGUAUAGCAAACUGAGGGACCAGAUGAAAACUAAAAGGCAUUAUCCUGCACUGAAAACUCUGGAACAUCUAGAGCAUACCUAUCUGCCUCAAGUAAGCCACUAUCGAUUCUGCAAGGUGAUGGUGGACAACAUCCCCAAGCUUCGAGAAGAAAUUAAGGAUGUUUCUAUGUCUGAUCUCAAAGACUUUUUGGAGAGUAUCCGCAAACAUUCAGACAAAAUCGGAGAGACUGCCAUGAAGCAAGCUCAGCAACAGAGAAACCUGGAUAACAUCGUCUUGCAACAACCCAGAAUAGGUAGCAAGAGAAAAUCUAAGAAAGAUGCAUACACAAUUUUUGAUACAGAGAUAGAAAGCACUAGCCCCAAGUCUGAACAGGACUCAGGAAUUCUGGAUGUUGAAGAUGAGGAAGAUGAUGAAGAGGUACCUGGAGCCCAAGAUUUGGUGGAUUUCUCUCCUGUUUAUCGAUGUCUACACAUAUAUUCUGUCCUGGGUGCCCGUGAAACAUUUGAGAACUACUACCGAAAACAGAGGCGAAAACAGGCCCGUUUGGUGCUCCAGCCUCCAUCUAACAUGCAUGAAACUUUAGAUGGCUACAGGAAGUAUUUUAAUCAAAUUGUAGGCUUUUUUGUGGUUGAAGAUCACAUUUUACAUACAACCCAGGGCUUAGUAAACCGAGCCUACAUUGAUGAACUCUGGGAAAUGGCACUUUCAAAAACCAUCGCGGCACUCCGCACCCACUCGUCUUACUGCUCUGAUCCAAACCUUGUGUUAGAUUUGAAGAACCUCAUUGUGCUUUUUGCUGACACACUUCAGGUGUAUGGUUUUCCUGUGAAUCAGCUUUUUGACAUGCUGUUAGAAAUCAGAGAUCAGUAUAGUGAAACUCUGCUAAAGAAGUGGGCAGGUAUUUUCAGAAACAUACUUGAUUCUGACAACUACAGCCCUAUACCAGUAACAAGUGAAGAGAUGUAUAAAAAGGUGGUAGGACAAUUCCCAUUCCAAGACAUAGAGCUGGAAAAGCAGCCAUUUCCAAAAAAGUUUCCUUUCUCUGAAUUUGUGCCAAAAGUUUACAACCAAAUUAAGGAAUUUAUCUAUGCCUGCCUGAAGUUUUCAGAAGAUCUUCACCUAAGCUCAACCGAAGUCGAUGACAUGAUUCGUAAAUCUACAAACCUGUUGCUAACCAGGACUCUGAGCAACUCUCUGCAGAAUGUCAUUAAAAGGAAGAAUAUUGGACUUACUGAGCUUGUCCAGAUUAUUAUCAAUACGACACACUUGGAGAAGUCCUGUAAGUACUUGGAAGAAUUCAUUACCAACAUCACUAAUGUGCUUCCAGAGACAGUCCACACCACCAAGCUCUAUGGCACCACAACUUUUAAGGAGCUCUUCUGCUGUUGUGUUAGCAUUUUUCAGAUCUGUCGUUCCUUAGAACACAUUUCAAGAAACAUUGGCGUAUACCAAUCUUUGAAGGAGCCUGAUGACAAAGACACCAGAGAGGAUGCCAGACAUGCAGCUGAAGAAGAAAUUUAUACCAAUUUAAACCAGAAGAUUGACCAGUUUCUACAGCUGGCUGACUAUGACUGGAUGACUGGAGAUUUGGGCAACAAAGCUAGUGAUUACCUAGUAGACCUCAUUGCCUUUCUACGAAGCACUUUUGCUGUAUUCACACACCUUCCUGGAAAAGUGGCCCAGACAGCAUGUAUGUCAGCUUGCAAGCAUUUGGCCACAUCCUUGAUGCAGCUGUUGCUGGAAGCCGAAGUAAGACAGCUCACCUUGGGAGCAUUGCAGCAGUUCAACUUGGAUGUCAGAGAAUGUGAACAGUUUGCCAGAUCCGGCCCGGUGCCUGGGUUCCAGGAGGACACGCUGCAGUUGGCCUUCAUCGACUUGAGACAACUUAUUUUGUCAAACUCUGAGUGCCUACCGUGAACAGAGCACAACCCCGGUGCUGUGGGAAUACAGAAGUGAAUAUCAUACAGUCUCUGACCUCCAGGAGCAAAGAAGUGAUCAGCAAAUACUUAAUUUUAAUAUAAGUCAGUCUGUAGUGAGCAUUACGUUGGAAGGAUGAAGCUAUUACAUAUGUUUCAAUUAUUUCGUUGUGUUUUGCUGCAUAACAAAGCACCCAAAAUGCCUUGUCUUAAAAGAAGAAUCAUUUAUUUAACUCAGGUUUCUACAGAUUAGCAAUUAGGAUAGGUUCUGGGGGCUCACUCACACCUUGAGGUCAGGUACUAGAUUCACUAGGAACUGCCUGGUCUAGGGUGUCUUAGCUAGACUGACUCUUCUCUGCUCCGUGUGGUCUCUCAUCCACCAGCAGCCUAACCCAGGCGUAAUCACGUGGCGUAUUGGUAGGUUUCAAGAGAGCGAGGGGAAAUAUGCAAACCCCUUAAGGUCUACACUUUGGAACUGGCAAGCCAUCGUUCCCACCACAUCUUAUGGGCUAGAGCUGGUCACAGGGCCAGCCCAAAAUCAAAGAGCGGGGAAAUCAACUUCAGUUUAUCCUCCGGUUGGGAUAUAAGACCUUUAUACAAACUAUGCAUCUAUAAUUGCAGAAAGAGGCCAUGGAGUGGAGAGGUCUUCGGGAGCCUAAGUAGUUAUAAAAUACUGCAUUAAAAUAGUGGAAAGUUCAACUGAUAGAAACCAGGCAUUGGUGAGGGAGGAAAGUGUUUUAAGCAUAGAGAAUAGCCAGUUUUAAGUUUUGUUUAAAAACAUAUAUGGAGUUGUUUUAACUAGGAUCUAGACUAUCUUUCCUUUUUUUUAAGUCUUAGACUAAUCUUUUUAAAACCCCAUUUCUUACUUUCUCUUCUUCGUUUCUUACUUUUACUAUUCAGCUUCCUCAUGGACCUGUUUUUUUGUUUGUUUGUUUGGUUUUGUUUAUGCCUUCUCCUUCUCAGCAAACACUGCUUAUUGUAGGCUACCCUGAAACAUUUCACAUUUCUGUUACAUUCACUGUGAGGGAAUCGUAACUUCCCUAGAUAAUUAAUUAUUUAUAUUACUCAUUUAAUUUCUGGCUGUUCACCGUACAUAUUUGACCAACAGGAAAAGGUUGGAGUGGAUUCUUUUCUUUAGUAGCAUCACAUUAUUUUCUGUUCCUUGGCCCCAAUUGUUGCUUACUUCCGAUAUACUAAGUUUUUAUAGAGCUGAAUGAACUAGGUUGUGACAUUGCAUCAGAUCUCCUGAAUGGAGCUUGUUGGCAACGACUCUCAAACAGCAAAGCCAUCCCAAGAUAUCUGCGGCUUUUUUUAGAUGGAGCUGGUGACAUUCCCUCUAGGCCAGUUAUUCCCCAAUUUCUAAACCUUCUGACUAAAGUAAACACGGUGCAUUUCCAUUGCAGGCACUUAACUUGCCUUAACAACAACUCUAGGACCUAAGAGAAAUAGUUGUAUAUUUCUUUGGAGACGUUGAAAGAAUUCUGAUGUUCGUGUUAGAGGCGUAAAAGUGAAAUCAGGACCGUCCGCUCUGUCAGAAAUGAAAUCCAGAGUCAUCCUAUCCUAAAGGCAUUGGUGGUUGGAAGAAGAUAAAGUAAUAAUAUCAGACUGUCUGCACAAAUCUCUUUGCUGAGACAGAGGUACUAAAAGUUCCUACAGACCCUAGUCCAUGUUUUAACAUAGAUAAAGCAAGCAAACUUUAUAGACCUCCCUAAAUCAGAAGUAUUCAUUCAUUCAUUGGACACUGUCCCUAGCACUAUUACAGUGACUCUACUGGUAUAGUUGGGAAUAAAACAACUGCAUCCAAGGGGUUGCCAGUUGGUCUCAAUUUUGAUUUUUUUUUUUUUAUAUUGAUGCUGUAUCGGUCAGUUUUAGGGACAGCCGCAGAGCUUUCUGCAAAUCCCCAGGGCCAGCUCAAGUCUGUUGUACACUGAUACACAGGCUUUCAGAAAAGAACCUGUAGCUGUGAUUUGGCAGCCCGGCAUACAUAAGAUGGCCAUCUUGAAAAGCUUCAGAGGGUGGCCCUUUGGUUUUUGAAAGUAGGGUUUUCUGGUUGUUUUGACAAAAUUGUUGUGCCCAUGUUAUUUUGACAGGCACCAGGGCGAUACCUUUAACCUCAAAGGAAUCUCUGACCACAAACGAUUCCCGUUCCCGAGUUGGGGAAAGCUUACGCCUUUGGUCUGGUUCUGUAAAAAACAGAGAUAGGAACGUUUCUGAGAAUAGACUCCACCGAGCUAGACUUAUGACCUCAUGUAAGCCAAGGCUAGAUCAGCACACACAGGAUGGGGCACAGGUAGAUAAGGUCUUCAGCCACUGAGAUAGAUGCUGCUGCUGCCACUGAAAAUCAGGUAUCUUUCCUUAUGUAACUGGGCUGCCAUGGAAAAUUUAUAGAAGGAAUUGCCAGUAAUAUGUAACACAUUCUGGGAUUUACCCAAUGUCCUUGGUUGAUUGGAGGAAAGUCUAUUCUAGAACUGCUGA